GCCAGGUGCAGUGGCACACACCUGUAAUCCCAGCAGCUUGGGAGGCUGAGGCAGGAGGAUCAUGAGUUCAAAGCCAGCCUCAGCAAAAGUGAGGCCCUAAGCGACUCAGUGAAACCCUGUCUUUA
This 125-nucleotide small RNA is filed under the name Marmota monax (woodchuck). Lineage: Eukaryota; Metazoa; Chordata; Mammalia; Rodentia; Sciuridae. The record is from RNAcentral.